RNAcentral lists this long non-coding RNA (353 nucleotides) under Brassica napus (rape). RNAcentral's name for it is "long non-coding RNA (BNAP_LNC025220)". Lineage: Eukaryota; Viridiplantae; Streptophyta; Magnoliopsida; Brassicales; Brassicaceae. The record is from RNAcentral.
UUUCAAAUAAUAGAUGUAAUUUACAUUAUACUAUCAUUUAACAAGUAUUAGAUACGUUUUGAUAUAUCAAUAUUUUCUAUUUUCUGAAAAAAUAAAUUGUUAAACAAUAUCGUCUAGGUUAAGUAUACUAACAGCACAAAUUCAAACAUCACAUAAAACAUUUACAUAAACAUUAUAAUUUAAUAAUUUAAUCAAAAAAUACAAUUCAAAAAAACUAUAUUCAAAAGAAUAGUUAUAUACUUAAUAUUUGAAAAUCAAAGAUAUUUUUGCUAAAAUUGUACUUACCUGGCCAAGGAGAUCGACUAUCUUUUUACGGAUCGAUCGAUUGUUGAGCAUGUGGUCGAUCCGAAAAU